Molecule: microRNA precursor, 124 nt
Filed under: Picea abies (Norway spruce)
Lineage: Eukaryota; Viridiplantae; Streptophyta; Pinopsida; Pinales; Pinaceae
Description: miR3627f stem-loop (pab-MIR3627f)
Source: miRBase by way of RNAcentral
GGAGGGCGUGCUGUGUUUCGUGCGCAGAAGAGAUGACACGGUCCUUAUAUAUUCUCUCCAUUCUGUCGAUGAAUGAUGUAUGAGGGCGGUGUCCUCUCUCUGCGCAUGAAACCUCCUGUUCUUU